AUUGUAGUUUUUAACAGGUCGGUUAACAGGAGCUGAAACGUUCACAUUACUCAAACAAACGCAAUUUUAUUAUACAGCGUGUUUUAAAAAAACGAUUUAUAUUAUUUCAAUAAGGUAGUGCCUAAGC
This is a long non-coding RNA of Maniola jurtina (meadow brown), 127 nucleotides long. RefSeq lists it as uncharacterized. NCBI's taxonomy places the organism in Eukaryota, Metazoa, Arthropoda, Insecta, Lepidoptera, Nymphalidae. The transcript is spliced from 3 exons. The record is from RefSeq and is a predicted model, not a curated record.